GGGCAGGGCGGUGGCAGCCCCGUGCUCCGUCGUGCGGCGGGAGCUGUCGUGCUUUGUCGCUCUUCGCUGGUCCGUGGAGGGGAAGCUGGCGUGUCGCUUGCUCUCGUUGUUGUUUGUGUGUUGUUUCCGUGGUGGCGGGCCUUGGAGAUGGCGUCGGGAAGCGCGGGGCUCCGUCCGGAUGGGAAGUUUUGCUUUUGGCGUCGCUCUGUGGAGUUUUGCUUCAGGCCCGGAGCGCGACAGCACGAAGCUGUGGGUGGCGGGGCCUGAUGGUGCAGCAAGGAUGGCAACGGCAUCGUCUUCCUGUGGUGUUCCCCAGCAAAGCCUCGAGGCAGAGCCUGAGCCCCCCUCUUCCCCCGUCCGCCUGGCUUCUGUGGCGCGGCUCUGGCUGUGCUCUGCUGCGCUCUGCGGUGCAGCAGGAAGGCCUCCCUUUGUUUGCCAGUAGGUGUGUGAGUGAGGACUCCGCGCUGGAAUUUGUACCGAGAAGAGCCCAGAUGGCGCCUUUGGUGUUCCGUUUCCGGAUGGUCGCCUGGAUCCGGAUUUUGUGCCUCAGGGGAAACCCAGAGGCCCUCUUGGUCAAUCAACAGCGUGGAAUCGUGUCCCUGAGCCCGGUGUGGAUGCUGGAGGUGUGACUGGAGGUGUAGGUGAUCCAGCUUCCCCUCUGCGAUCCAGGAUGCGUGGGAGUCCGUCAUCUCACAUGGAAGUGCGGCCAGGGAAGGCGUUGCCAAGUCCUCAGCUCUUUCCUGUGCUGGAGCCCCGCUGGAAUCCCAGGGCUUCCUACGUUGUGUUAGGUCCGGAAAGAGGAAAGGAUACAUCUAGAAGAGGGAGAUACUCCCCGAGGUCAUCUCCUGGGCUAAAGGAACUCCUGAAGGAAAUGGAGAAGGCAGCGCGUGGUGGGUAUACUUGAGUGUGUUCACUGUGAGACUUGGGAAGCUGAGGUCUGAUAUGCAUGGGUGGAUAAGCUGUAGCCUGCACGGCAGGAAGGGAUCUCUCAGAGCCGCGGUGUGGUGGUGUUCCGUGUAAGACCUUGCAGGCACUGUCAAGCUCCAGAGAUGGUCUGCUGGCACUUCUGCAUCCAGCCAAGACCCUGAGACAGCUGCUCGCCCAGCACGACCGUAACUUGUCAGAGCUGCUUUGUGCAGACAUUGGCACCCAGAUGGCAGCAAGUGGCGAGUGCUGUGCUCCUGUUUGAACAAAGCCCUCUGUGCUGCUGAGCAAGUUCAAGGCAGGAGGAGCAUCCCAAGCAGGGGUGGCUGUCUUUGCUAAUGCUGGAAACGAGGUGGAGAUGGUGAUUCUGGAGAUGGUUCUGCCGGAGCUUGAAUUUGAGCGUGCAGGUGCCUGGCUGUGAUGGGUGGAACAGGAUGGUUGGUGAUGGUCCCAGCACGGUGCGUGAGGGCCCUGGCCAGGGGCCUUAUUCCUCGGGAGGCGUGAGAGGUUUUGGCACCCUCCAAUUCCUGGGAGGGCCCAAAUGCCCUUGGGCAGCGGAGGGGGUCGCAGUGGCUUUGGGGGGCCGGGACCUGCAGACUUUGCCUGAGCUCAGGGUAGGAGAAGCUCAGUUCCUGAUGAGAGGACGUCGCAUCCAAUGGUACUGUCCUGUUUCUUUCGGAAGGAAGUGACCAACCAUCUGCACAGGACGCGCUGCGGUUUGGCAGCCAUCCCACACUGCCAGUCUCGGCCAGAGGAACACAGACAGCGCCGACAACUGGCAUGCCAGGUCAGCAGCCAAACCUGAGCGUAUGAGCACAGAGCACAUGUAAAAGAAGCCCGGGGUGGCUCUCUGAAAAUGGCUGACCUCAGUGGGGUUUGGGGUGGAUGCUGGGAAAAACACAAGGGCUGUGCUUCAGGAGUUUCUGCAGGUGCACUUCACCCUAGUGAUCACAGUGCUUGUAACUGUGCUGCUGUCUGGGCUGGUGAUGACCUGUAUUGCUGUGUCGUGGAUGUGGC
Gallus gallus (chicken) is the source of this 1941-nucleotide RNA transcript. RefSeq lists it as uncharacterized. The transcript has 9 exons. NCBI's taxonomy places the organism in Eukaryota, Metazoa, Chordata, Aves, Galliformes, Phasianidae. The record is from RefSeq and is a predicted model, not a curated record.